CAGUGUGGCUGCGCCUCUCCUCCCAGUGUUGGGCGCGCAUGGUCAGCGCUGAGCUGCGCGUGUCGCCCAAAGGCCUUGAGACCUCGUGUUCUGGGGAGGACAGACAGAGCUCACCAUCUCCAGCUGAGGAAGAGUGUCCAGACUUCCGGAGCUGGGAAGGGUGGAGAACCUUGAAAUCUGAAUUUGAACAAAGCAUCUGGCCAAGACUCAUACUACACCUCUGGCUGACUGAGACAUAUAAGCAGACCAAGAAUAACUGAGUUUCCCAAGACUUCCUUUCAUUAUUCCAUUUUGCCUGUUCUGAAGAAUGCCAUGUAAUAUGUUUGGGAUAGGAUAAUACAACCUCUAAAAAGAAAAGUUUCCAUUUUUAGUUUAAUUUGGAAAAUAAAAACAACUUAGAAAUACUUAUACUUGCUAAUCAAGGUAAACAUUGAAGAAUUUUGCCAUCUACUAUCUAGUUAGAAUACUUCCAUGAAUAGAUUCAUGAACAUAGGUAAAAAAUCUCAGUUGUAUUUAUUUUAAUUUCUAGAAUAUGCAAAUAAUAUAAUUUGAAAUAUACCAGUGGACUGAAUAAUGAUUCUGAAAAUUCUUCUUAACAUUUCUUAUCAAAAUUUGUAUUUUGCAAAAUGGCAUGUCUGGAAGUCCACAUAAAGGAAAAUGGAAAUCUAGAGGGAAUGCAAUUGAGAAAGCUCAGUAAUAAAUUCAAUCAUGCACAUGUAAUA
Long non-coding RNA from Myotis daubentonii (Daubenton's bat), 722 nucleotides. RefSeq lists it as uncharacterized. NCBI's taxonomy places the organism in Eukaryota, Metazoa, Chordata, Mammalia, Chiroptera, Vespertilionidae. The record is from RefSeq and is a predicted model, not a curated record.